This 476-nucleotide ribosomal RNA is filed under the name uncultured Sphingobacteriales bacterium. Its description in RNAcentral is "bacterial SSU rRNA". It matches the Rfam family "Bacterial small subunit ribosomal RNA", at positions 901 to 1382 of the family's 1533-position model. Lineage: Bacteria; Pseudomonadati; Bacteroidota; Sphingobacteriia; Sphingobacteriales. The record is from RNAcentral.
UUAAAGGAAUUGACGGGGCCCGCACAAGCGGAGGAACAUGUGGUUAAUUCGAUGAUACGCGAGGAACCUUACCUGGGCUUAAAUGGGGAGUGACAGCUGUCGAAAGAUGGUUUUCUUCGGACACUCUUCAAGGUGCUGCAUGGUUGUCGUCAGCUCGUGCCGUGAGGUGUCGGGUUAAGUCCCAUAACGAGCGCAACCCUUACCGUUAGUUACCAUCAGGUUAAGCUGGGGACUCUAGCGGGACUGCCACCGUAAGGUGAGAGGAAGUGGGGAUGACGUCAAAUCAGCACGGCCCUUAUGUCCAGGGCUACACACGUGUUACAAUGGCCAGUACAAAGGGCAGCUACCGGGUGACCGGAUGCUAAUCUCUAAAGCUGGUCUCAGUUCGGAUCGAAGUCUGCAACCCGACUUCGUGAAGCUGGAUUCGCUAGUAAUCGCGCAUCAGCCAUGGCGCGGUGAAUACGUUCCCGGGCCUU